AUUGAACGCUGGCGGCAUGCCUUACACAUGCAAGUCGAACGGCAGCACGGGAGCAAUCCUGGUGGCGAGUGGCGAACGGGUGAGUAAUAUAUCGGAACGUGCCCAGUCGUGGGGGAUAACGCAGCGAAAGCUGUGCUAAUACCGCAUACGAUCUAAGGAUGAAAGCGGGGGAUCGCGAGACCUAGCGCGAUUGGAGCGGCCGAUAACAGGUUAGCUAGUUGGUGGGGUAAAGGCCCACCAAGGCGACGAUCUGUAGCUGGUCUGAGAGGACGACCAGCCACACUGGAACUGAGACACGGUCCAGACUCCUACGGGAGGCAGCAGUGGGGAAUUUUGGACAAUGGGCGCAAGCCUGAUCCAGCAAUGCCGCGUGCAGGAUGAAGGCCUUCGGGUUGUAAACUGCUUUUGUACGGAACGAAACGGCCCUUUCUAAUACAGGGGGCUAAUGACGGUACCGUAAGAAUAAGCACCGGCUAACUACGUGCCAGCAGCCGCAGUAA
Molecule: ribosomal RNA, 500 nt
Filed under: uncultured bacterium
Lineage: Bacteria
Description: partial 16S ribosomal RNA
Rfam family: Bacterial small subunit ribosomal RNA
Source: RNAcentral